Molecule: transfer RNA, 72 nt
Filed under: Bos taurus (domestic cattle)
Lineage: Eukaryota; Metazoa; Chordata; Mammalia; Artiodactyla; Bovidae
Also listed under: 2 other names
Rfam family: tRNA
About the family: Transfer RNA (tRNA) molecules are approximately 80 nucleotides in length. Their secondary structure includes four short double-helical elements and three loops (D, anti-codon, and T loops). Further hydrogen bonds mediate the characteristic L-shaped molecular structure. tRNAs have two regions of fundamental functional importance: the anti-codon, which is responsible for specific mRNA codon recognition, and the 3' end, to which the tRNAs corresponding amino acid is attached (by aminoacyl-tRNA synthetases). tRNAs cope with the degeneracy of the genetic code in two manners: having more than one tRNA (with a specific anti-codon) for a particular amino acid; and 'wobble' base-pairing, i.e. permitting non-standard base-pairing at the 3rd anti-codon position.
Source: Rfam by way of RNAcentral
UCCUUGCUGGCUCAGACAGUAAAGCAUCUGCCUAUAGUGCAGGAGCUCCAGGUUCAAUCCCUGGGUCAGGAA